UGGGGAAUAUUGCACAAUGGAGGGAACUCUGAUGCAGCGACGCCGCGUGAGUGAUGAAGGCAUUCGUUUCGUAAAACUCUGUUCUAUGGGAAGAAAAGGACUGUACCAUAGGAGAAAGCUCCGGCUAAAUACGUGCCAGCAGCCGCGGUAAUACGUAUGGAGCGAGCGUUGUCCGGAAUUAUUGGGCGUAAAGGGUGCGCAGGCGGCUUUACAAGUUGGAUGUGAAAUAUUGUGGCUCAACCACAAACGUGCAUCCAAAACUGCAAAGCUUGAGUUAAGGAGAGGUAAGUGGAAUUCCUGGUGUAGCGGUGGAAUGCGUAGAUAUCAGGAGGAAUACCGGUGGCGAAGGCGACUUACUGGACUUAAACUGACGCUCAGGCACGAAAGCGUGGGGAGCAAACAGG
RNAcentral lists this ribosomal RNA (404 nucleotides) under Fusobacteriota bacterium. Its description in RNAcentral is "Fusobacteria bacterium partial 16S ribosomal RNA". It matches the Rfam family "Bacterial small subunit ribosomal RNA", at positions 355 to 776 of the family's 1533-position model. Lineage: Bacteria; Fusobacteriati; Fusobacteriota. The record is from RNAcentral.